Molecule: long non-coding RNA, 3899 nt
Organism: Mesoplodon densirostris (Blainville's beaked whale)
Lineage: Eukaryota; Metazoa; Chordata; Mammalia; Artiodactyla; Ziphiidae
Exons: 3
Source: RefSeq, a predicted model, not a curated record
GUAAGGGGGGCAUCUAAGAGAGUCACAUGUAAGGAAGUGGGGAACCUCCAAUUUUCCAGGGGUGUCCCCAUCAAGCCCACUUCUUAGGCAGACUUGGUGUGCAGUCCUUUGACAGGGAGGUGUGAGAGAAGUUACAAAAUUGACCAAGUCAAUACCCCGUAGUGACAAAGGGCAUCUGACACCCCACCCCCGCACCCCCCGCCUCGGUGGCUGUUUUGCUUGAAAGACCAGUGCCCCUGUCUUGAAGGAAAAUGAUCCACAUGGGAACAGUGGCCAACCCUAGGCCCCUGUUACCUGUGCGUUCAACUCCAGUGGGAACCUGGGUGGCUGGCUGAAGGCCCACUUUCGGGGCUGGGGGCCCCCGAGGAUCCAGCUUCGGUGGGGCUGGAGGAGGCAGGCCCUGCGUGCAGUGCAUCCACUGCAACUGCUGAAUCUGCAUCUCCUCCUCGGCCUCAAAUUCCGUGAACCUGGGGGGUGACGGAGGCACAGGCCACCCUGAGAAAAUGGCCUGGGUUCUGGAGCCCAACAAAGGCAGCCAAGAAUGAGGGAUUGGGAGAGGAUGUGCCUUGGCGCUGUCAAGGCCCUGCAAGGUGCUGUCCACAGCAGAGAGCUGCUCCUGGAACUGAUACAAGAUCUGGGACCCUUCCUGCCUCACCAGCACUGGAGAGCAUUCAACAGCAUAGAGCCAGGUCGCUGCAUUGAACCAGGUCAACGGGACACGUGGCUGACCCAGGGGGCACCCUCCUCAUGCCCCCCAUCCAGAGCCACAUGAAGGGCUGACAGCCAGAGUCUGGAACAGGCAUGUGUUCCCCACAGGGGUCCUUGCCCGAAUCCAGGACCCUGGGUUGCGACUGAGAGUCCUGGAACAUAGACCUGGAGACAGGGCUCAGGACAAGCUGGACGAUGUGGAUGCUGAGCUUAGAGGACAGGCCUUCCUUUCCUCUGAGAGGCGCUUGUUUGUUUGGUUUUGUUUCUUAAACCAAGGGGAUUACCGUGGAGCAAACACUGGAAGGGCCAGAGACCUUUGGGCUGACGACAGCUGGCUUCCCCAGCCCCUUCAGGGAUGCCAGGGUACCCACUCAGGCCACUUUUCAUGAGGAGAGGGGGUCCCAAAUCUAUGUCAGUGGCCGCCGUCAGCCACCAUGAAGGAAGCAGCAGGCUGGCGGGUGGAGCUCUUUCCCCGGCCCAGCCCAUAUGGCCGGAGUUGGACCCCUACUGGACUCACAGCUUCACCCUGCCCCGUCCUGAGACCUUCAUGUCAGGGGAGGGCAGAGCUCCUGGUGGAGGAAGGACAGAAGACCCAAACUCUCAAGGUGAGGGAGGGGUUUCUGGAGGACUGUAGGGCCUCUGGGCUGCGGGGUCCCUGUUCCGAGCGACAGCCCUUCUCCUUUGUCCUCUCUGAUGAGCACCCCCACGGCCAGACCCUGCCCUCACCCACUCGCCUCACCCUCCACGCAGCCCCUGGGCCCAGGACGCUGACUCACUUUUGCGCCAUCUCGUAGUAGAUCAUCCGGUCAGAGUUGCUAAUGUGCUGCCAUUCCUGCACGGCCCUGCACAGUCCCUCCUCCAGCUUCAUGGUCGGCUUCAGGUGGGCCAGGGAUCGAAGCGCUGGGCUGUAAGCACUCGGGGUCAGUCUCCGUGCCCAGGCCAGCCCCCACCUGCCUGACCCCACCCGCCAAUGUGGACCACACAUCACUCAACACAGCAUGACUGAGCCACAGGAGGGUGAGAGGCAGGUGUCUGGGACGUGGCAGAGACAAGCCUUCCCGGCUACCGCUGUCACCGCCUCACACUCCCUCGAGGAUGACCAUCCACUCCCAGGCCAGAGCUGGGACACUGUGCCUUGGGGAGCUCUUUUCCUCUUCAAGGCUGCCUUUUCAUAAUAAAAAUCACUAUCAUCAGUGAGGCGUGGCAUGUGCCAGGCAAUCUGCUCACACUUCAUAGAUUAGCCCAAGGAGUCUUCUGCACGGUCCUCUGAGUGAAGUGUGAUUGUCCCCUUUUUACGAGGGACCGCAGGUUUAGGAUGGAAAUGCCUGCCAGGCUCACAAAUCUAGCGGGAGAGAGCCCACGCCCUUAGGAGAGCUCUACCAUCACCCUGUUCCUACUGGAAUUCUCCACAACAACGAAGUCCAGGCGUGCAUUAAGCACACUCCGGGGCCCCGCCCUCCUCCCCCUCCUCCGAAGUGACCUCCCCCGGCCACGUACACUCAAGUCCUGUAUGAAAGGAGACGGCAGCACAGGAGAGUGUGGCAUCCACUCCUUGGCUCCUCAACGUACACCACGACCCUCUCUGACUGCAAGUCGUCAGGCCAUAUGACAUUGAGAAUCAUGGAAGAACAAGCUGGCUAGCCUCACAGGGGGGUGGGGUCAGUCGAGAUAAGGCACAUUUCAGUCAUGAUGUCAGGGACUGGCAGGCUCGCCCGUAUGGCCGACAAUGUGCCUUCCCAUGGCAUGGACAUCGCCCUCACACCUUGCUUCCAGGAUCCCUAGAAACCUAACCUGCGAGUCCAUCCCCAGUUCCUCUUUAUCUAAGAGCUCCGAUAAGCUCACGACCCCCGGAGCGUUCACUCACAUGAGAAAGCAGGAAAGAGCUUCCGCAUCAGGACUCUGGGGAAGGUGUCUCCGGGCCAGUGGCUUGAGGCGCUGCCACCGUCGGAAGUUACUGUACACGCUCUGGUGGUUCGAGCAGUCCUCCUGCGAGGCGUAGGGCUGGUUGGUGUCCAGGCUGCCCUCCCUGGAAGUGCCGUGUGGCCAUGGCCCAGAGUUCACCGGGCGAAUGUUAGGGGCCAUCUGGGCAGCUGGUGGUGGAGCUUGAGGAGGAAAGCCUGGGGUCCAGCCUCCCCUGCCAGCCUGAGUAACUCCAACAGCUGGAGCAGUCACAAUGGUCUCCAUCGCAGGGGUGGCUAAGAAUAUGGGUGCAGGACAUGCAGCACUCCCGCUGAGGGCCCCUGGAGCGCUCCAGUUGAGGGGGCCCUGAGGAACGAUAAAGGUCGGAGUCUGGGGGGCCUGCACUGGCCUCCCUUGUGACCUGACUCGGACAGUGAAGUUGCAAGCCCCAGGGGCACGGGGGCCACAGCCACCGUUAGCCACCAAAGGCAUCCUGGGGAAAGCCGGCAGCAGCAGGCCGCUGCCAGGAGGGAAUGCGGGGGCGAUGAGAGGUGGCAGGUGCUGCUCCCAGGGGGGCCGGUGCUGGGCGCCAGGAAUGGGUGGAGGAAAGGACACUGCCGUGAAAGUAGACAAGGAGGCACCGGGGUUCAUGGGGACAUCCGUUCCCAGCACUGCAGAUGCUGUUGAGGCAAAGGAAAGGAGUGAAUGGAGGAGGAGAAUGGGCAAGUGGGACUGAGGCUUUCUGCGGCAUCAGAGUGUAAAUCACAGAUGAGAGACACUUGGACAGGGGAAACUGCAGCGGGCAAAUAUCUUCAAGUGAUUUUCAUGCCCUGACCUCCAGUUGAGAAUUAUUCCACUGGUGACCCCACGCCCAUCCACCAAGCUCCCUGACCCCUGCCUGCCAAGAAGAAAUUGCCUCAGCAAGAACUCACUUGGAGAGCCUCCCUAAGGCACACCCUGGCACCUAAGCCUCACAGGCUGUCUCCCAAGACCUGGAGCUGUGUGGACAUCCGCUCUGUGAGAAAUGCCCCUCGGCCGGCGUACUAGCAGGUAGGGGCCUUCUGCAAGGAUGAACUGACCCUUUUAUUCACUAUUCUACAUCAAGCUGCAAACCCAUCAGAGGGAACCAUGUGAUCACUGUAGCCACCAGCUGACCCCACAGCCACCUUGUGCCUCCCUUGGAGCCACCCAAGCAUUUCUGCGCCUUCUUUAUGGUGCAUUUUAAAAAGAUGGCAGAGAUGAGAGUUCCUGAGAAGACCAGAAAGGACAUUUGCAUCUCAAAGAUACAGGCA